RNAcentral lists this unclassified non-coding RNA (243 nucleotides) under uncultured Dothideomycetes. RNAcentral's name for it is "sequence contains 5.8S rRNA gene". Lineage: Eukaryota; Fungi; Ascomycota; Dothideomycetes. The record is from RNAcentral.
GAACGCACCUUGCACCCAUUGGUAUUCCAAAGGGUAUGCUCGUUUGAGUGUCAUUUCACCUCUCAAGCCUGGCUUGGUGUUGGGCGACGUCCCCUUUGGGGACGCGCCUCGAAACGCUCGGCGGCGUGGCACCGGCUUUAAGCGUAGCAGAAUCUUUCGCUUUGGAAGUCGGGGCCCCGUCUGCCGGAAGACCUACUCGCAAGGUUGACCUCGGAUCAGGCAGGGAUACCCGCUGAACUUAAG